Dreissena polymorpha is the source of this 1406-nucleotide long non-coding RNA. RefSeq lists it as uncharacterized. The record is from RefSeq and is a predicted model, not a curated record. The transcript is spliced from 3 exons. Lineage: Eukaryota; Metazoa; Mollusca; Bivalvia; Myida; Dreissenidae.
AAAAAUAUUGAAAGUGUCAAAAGUAUUAUGUGGGCUUGAUAGUAUCAAUUAUAUUUCCUCAACAUAAAUAAGUAUUUGAACUUUCUUAUACUGAUAUUUAUACCCUAAUACAAUUAAUGUCUACCACAUUGACCAUAAACAUACAUUUUAAAAGGCAAUUAAAAUAAUAUUUAUACUAUUAAUAUUAUUUGCUAAAACCAUUCAGCAUGUUAUAUUUAAAUAUUUACAAUUAAAUAUAAUGUGUUAAGGGUGCUGUGUAUUAUUCAAUAAAUAUUUUGGUGUUGAAAUGACUGCCUUAUCAGUAUUUCUCAAAUUAUGCAAUUUUUGGCUUAGACACAGCAUGGUAUCAGAUAAGAGAAUAGCCAGUCCCUAUCAGUCCUCCAUCUAAGCCUAACUAAGGGGUGUUGAUAUACUUUUGAUUUGUUCAGGCACCAUCUAUUUAAGAACCACAGAUAGGAAGUUAUUUUUUGAAAACAAGCAGCAUCAGCAACUGACUUUAAGCUAGAAUUAAGACUUAUUAUUCUAGUGUAAAAUGUCUUGAAAUACUUUCAGCAUGAAGUAUUGUGUGAUGAAAAAAAUGUGUAUUUACUACAAUGUGUAAAUCAACAAUAAAGGAGAUUAAAAGUGGGUGGUUAAAGACAUAUAAAGUGAUAUGGUCUAGUUCAACAACUGCCUGUAUUUUUGGAAUACUGAAGAACAGUCUGUUGUAACAGGUUAAACCCCAUGGAAAGAAUGUGCAUCAUCGCAUCCCCUGCCAAAAAAAGGAGCAAAAGAGAGACUACCUGAUGUAUGGACUUGAAUACCAGGUUUUACCCUGCACAAGCUGGCCGACAUGAGGAGAACAGGAGUGGGAAAACCGCGCCCUCUCCUUGACCAAGAAAAGCAGAGGACCUGAUCAAAUGAGAUCAUCACGAGACGCAUCGCGCAAAGGCCAUGACAGUAUAAUAGUUGCAAAGAAGUUUGACCGGCUGGUGGCAGACUUGGAGAGAAAGAUGAGAGCUGCACUCCGCUGCCUCAAAGAAAUGCUGAAAGGCCUUGAUUGAUAUGCAUCUUUCUUAUGUAUAUAGCUGUUCGUGUGUAUAUAGUACUGUACAUGUUAUUAUAGUAUGCUAUUAUUUUUUGUUUAUUUAUAAUCAAAUUAUGUUUAUAUUUAUUUCAUCAAAUUGCCAUUGAUAUUUAAUUACUCAUGUAUGUUAAAAAAUGUGGGGUACAUUAAAGUAUAAAAUUGAAUUAUCUUGUAAUUAUUAAAAUACACAAAAAUAUAUGUUUAUAUAAUUAUUGGUUUUUAUUGCAUAUCUGAAUUAAAUUAACUUUGAACAGCAUAUAAUUGAAUCAACUGUUAAGGCAAAAGAUGCACCUUUAACGCACAUGUGUGCUUUUUGUGAGUGCGUUUUUUGCUGCCAUUC